RNAcentral lists this ribosomal RNA (119 nucleotides) under Pteropus alecto (black flying fox). The record is from RNAcentral. Lineage: Eukaryota; Metazoa; Chordata; Mammalia; Chiroptera; Pteropodidae.
GUCUACAGCCAUGCCACCCUGAACAAGCCUGAUCCCAUCUGAUCCCGGAAGCUAAGCAGGGUCAGGCCUGUUUAGUGCUUGGAUGGGAGACCAUCCAGGAAGACCAGGUGCUGUAGGUG